This 445-nucleotide ribosomal RNA is filed under the name uncultured bacterium. Its description in RNAcentral is "bacterial SSU rRNA". It matches the Rfam family "Bacterial small subunit ribosomal RNA", at positions 15 to 507 of the family's 1533-position model. The record is from RNAcentral.
GAUCAUGGCUACAGAACGAACGCUGGCGGCAGGCUUAACACAUGCAAGUCGAGCGCGUAGCAAUACGAGCGGCAGACGGGUGAGUAACGCGUGGGAAUCUACCCAACCCUACGGAAUAACGCAUGGAAACGUGUGCUAAUACCGUAUACGCCCUUCGGGGGAAAGAUUUAUCGGGGAUGGAUGAGCCCGCGUUGGAUUAGCUAGUUGGUGGGGUAAUGGCCUACCAAGCCUACGAUCUCUAGCUGGUCUGAGAGGAUGAUCAGCCACACUGGAACUGAGACACGGUCCAGACUCCUACGGGAGGCAGCAGUGGGGAAUAUUGGGCAAUGGACGAAAGUCUGACCCAGCCAUGCCGCGUGAAUGAUGAAGGCCUUAGGGUUGUAAAGUUCUUUCGCCGAUGAAGAUAAUGACGGUAGUCGGAGAAGAAGCCCCGGCUAACUUCGUG